AUGGCGCCGACGUACCGGCCUUACGCGGCGGAGUACGGGGCGGUGGAGCGGAAGGUGCCGGGGGCGCGGUGGGUGGCGUCGGCGGCGGCGGCGUCGUCGGUGGCGUGGUUCGUGGGGGACCAGGCGGAGAUGAAGCGGCGGGGGAGGGUGGCCAGCUACAAGGCCUACGCCGUGGAGGGCAAGGUGAAGGCGUCCCUCCGCCGGGGCCUCCGCUGGAUCAAGGCCAAGUGCUCCCACAUCGUCCACCGCUAG
Molecule: ribosomal RNA, 252 nt
Filed under: Triticum aestivum (bread wheat)
Lineage: Eukaryota; Viridiplantae; Streptophyta; Magnoliopsida; Poales; Poaceae
Description: partial small subunit ribosomal RNA
Source: RNAcentral